GAUGAGUCCGCGGCCCAUCAGCUAGUUGGCGGGGUAAUGGCCCACCAAGGCUACGACGGGUAGCUGGUCUGAGAGGACGAUCAGCCACACUGGAACUGAGACACGGUCCAGACUCCUACGGGAGGCAGCAGUGGGGAAUAUUGGACAAUGGGCGCAAGCCUGAUCCAGCCAUGCCGCGUGAGUGAUGAAGGCCCUAGGGUUGUAAAGCUCUUUCACCGGUGAAGAUAAUGACGGUAACCGGAGAAGAAGCCCCGGCUAAC
RNAcentral lists this ribosomal RNA (260 nucleotides) under Aeromonas salmonicida subsp. salmonicida 01-B526. Its description in RNAcentral is "partial 16S ribosomal RNA". It matches the Rfam family "Bacterial small subunit ribosomal RNA", at positions 224 to 501 of the family's 1533-position model. The record is from RNAcentral. Lineage: Bacteria; Pseudomonadati; Pseudomonadota; Gammaproteobacteria; Aeromonadales; Aeromonadaceae.